This 45-nucleotide non-coding RNA is filed under the name Schistosoma margrebowiei. The record is from RNAcentral. Lineage: Eukaryota; Metazoa; Platyhelminthes; Trematoda; Strigeidida; Schistosomatidae.
AUUCAGCUGACGAGCCUCAAAUAAGACGAAAUGCAUAUCCUGUAU